CACCCUCGUUUUUGGAAAAGAGCGCGUCUGAAGAGCCUGAAUGCACCACCCCUGUAAGCCGUGUCGCCUUUCCCGAGCCGCGUAACUCCUUCCCAAGUGACGUUGCCCGAAUGGGGGCCGCUCGCUGACUGGCCCACCUGGAGGCCAAAGGCGGCGUCGCAGGAGCGGCUGGCACGAGGGAGAUAAAAGGGCGUCGCGGGGCUCUGCUGGGCGCAAGCUUCUCACCCCGGGAAGAAUCAUACUCCUCCUCCUCCUGCCGCCGCCGCCGGUCUGCACCCCUUUUGACACCGAGACGGGUAUUCGCCUCUCUGCAACGCCUCCAUCCAGUUAAGCAGACUAAAGUCAUGUUGCACUGGGGAUACGAGGAAGACAACGGACCUACUCACUGGAGGGAAAUUUUCCCCAUUGCUGAUGGAGACCGGCAAUCUCCCAUUGAUAUUCACACUGAAGAGACUAAAUACGACCCCAACCUGCUUCCUCUCAGUCCCAGAUAUGAUCCUUCCUCUGCUAAAGUCAUACUCAAUAAUGGACACUCCACCAGUGUGGAAUUUGAUGACACUGAGAAUAAAUCAGUACUAAGUGGGGGUCCACUCACUGGAAAUUAUAGGCUGCGACAAAUCCACUUCCAUUGGGGAGCCCAAGAUGACAUUGGUUCUGAACAUGCCGUGGAUGGAGCAAAAUUCCCAGCAGAGCUUCAUGUGGUGCAUUGGAAUGCAGAUAAAUACCCUAGCUUCGUUGAAGCUGCUCAGCAACCUGAUGGAUUAGCAGUCAUGGCUGUUUUCUUAAAAAUGGGUGAAUGCAAUUCACAACUGAAAAAAAUCACAGACCAACUGGAUACCAUUAAAGUGAAGGGUAACCAGCACAGGUUCACCAAUUUUGAUCCUUCCUGUCUUCUCCCUCAUUCACUGGACUACUGGACAUACCUUGGGUCUCUCACAGUCCCUCCCCUUCUUGAGAGUGUCAUUUGGAUCGUCCUUAGGGAGCCUAUAAGUGUUUGCUCUGAACAGCUGGCCAAAUUUCGCAACCUCCUGUGCACUGGUGAAGGAGAGCAUGCCUAUUGCAUACUGAGAAACUUCAGACCACCACAGCCUUUAAGGGGGCGGGAAGUAAGAAGAAAUUAAAGGAAGGAUAAUUUGCUAUACUAGUUGACACUGUUAUGGAUGCAAAACCCAUUUAAAAUAUUGCGCAUAUAUAUCUAUAAAAUUAAUAGAAUAGAAUAGAAUAGAAUAGAAUAGAAUAGAAUAGAAUAGAAUAGAAUAGAAUAGAACAGAAUAGCCAUAUAACAAUUCUUGACAAUUACAAUAUACAAUCAUGCCCUUACAAUAUCAAUCCCAAAUAAAAACUUAUGGGUUUGUAUAAAAUAACAGUAAAUGCAAAGUAUGUGUAAGUAGUGAGAUGAUAAGAAGACAUGGAAAAGGAAUUAAAAUACUUAUAUCCAAUCAGGAUAAAAAGUUUAUUUUAGUGAUACAAUAUUUUUGUUCAAUUAUUUGAUUCAUCUAUUUAAAUAAUAGUUUCCUUGCAGUUUGACUAUGUUAGAGAGACAAGACACUCCCUUUUUAUUAAGAGUAUACUUAAUAAUUUAAGAUGUAAUUGGAUUGCAAUACGAUAUAAUCAAUCAGAUUUAUUCUGAGUUGUAGUUAAUAUUAAUAUUACAUUUUGUGGUCUGAAUGAACUUCGUGCUGUUAUUUGAUUGUAGAGUAGCAUGUUAAGUGUGAGUGAAGAGGAUUCAGUAGAAAUAAUUUAGGGUUUGUGAAUGAAAUGACCUAAUUAGGCAGAAGAUUAAAUGAUUUAAUCUUCCACUCUGGGAUUCUAUCAAUUUAUCUUCAAAACAUCCUAGGAAUUGUUCCUUUGUAAAGAAACUCAAUAGGAAAUUAUUCAACUAAUUAGACUAGAAAACAAGAAUAGCAAGACACUUAAAAAAUUCAAACAACU
Molecule: non-coding RNA, 1932 nt
Organism: Notechis scutatus (mainland tiger snake)
Lineage: Eukaryota; Metazoa; Chordata; Lepidosauria; Squamata; Elapidae
Source: RefSeq, a predicted model, not a curated record